AGAGUUUGAUCAUGGCUCAGAAUCAACGCUGGCGGCGUGCCUAACACAUGCAAGUCGAACGAGAAAGUGGAGCAAUCCAUGAGUAAAGUGGCGCACGGGUGAGUAACACGUGACUAACCUACCUUUUCGUGGGGGAUAACCUAGGGAAACCUGGGCUAAUACCGCAUAAUACCUACGGGUCAAAGCAGCAAUGCGCGGAUUGAGGGGGUCGCGGUCGAUUAGUUAGUUGGCAGGGUAAUGGCCUACCAAGACUGUGAUCGAUAUCCGGCCUGAGAGGGCGCACGGACACACUGGAACUGAAACACGGUCCAGACUCCUACGGGAGGCAGCAGUGGGGAGUUUUGCGCAAUGGGGGAAACCCUGACGCAGCAACGCCGCGUGGAGGAUGAAGUCCCUUGGGACGUAAACUCCUUUCGAUCGGGACGAUUAUGACGGUACCGGAAGAAGAAGCCCCGGCUAACUUCGUGCCAGCAGCCGCGGUAAUACGAGGGGGGCAAGCGUUGUUCGGAAUUAUUGGGCGUAAAGGGUGCGUAGGUGGUUCGGCAAGUCUUGUGUGAAAUCUUCAGGCUCAACUUGAAGUCUGCACAAGAAACUGCCGGGCUUGAGUGUGGGAGAGGUGAGUGGAAUUUCCGGUGUAGCGGUGAAAUGCGUAGAUAUCGGAAGGAACACCUGUGGCGAAAGCGGCUCACUGGACCAUUACUGACACUGAGGCACGAAAGCUAGGGGAGCAAACAGGAUUAGAUACCCUGGUAGUCCUAGCCCUAAACGAUGAUCGCUUGGUGUGGCGGGUAUCCAACCCUGCCGUGCCGCAGCUAACGCGUUAAGCGAUCCGCCUGGGGAGUACGGUCGCAAGGCUGAACUCAAAGGAAUUGACGGGGGCCCGCACAAGCGGUGGAGCAUGUGGUUUAAUUCGACGCAACGCGAAGAACCUUACCUGGGCUCGAAAUGUAGUGGACUGGGGUAGAAAUUUCCCUUCCUA
RNAcentral lists this ribosomal RNA (979 nucleotides) under uncultured bacterium. RNAcentral's name for it is "bacterial SSU rRNA". It matches the Rfam family "Bacterial small subunit ribosomal RNA", at positions 8 to 1018 of the family's 1533-position model. The record is from RNAcentral.